RNAcentral lists this ribosomal RNA (406 nucleotides) under uncultured bacterium. RNAcentral's name for it is "partial 16S ribosomal RNA". It matches the Rfam family "Bacterial small subunit ribosomal RNA", at positions 29 to 526 of the family's 1533-position model. The record is from RNAcentral.
AUUGAACGCUGGCGGCAGGCCUAACACAUGCAAGUCGAGCGAGCGGCGGACGGGGGAGUAAUGUCUGGGAAACUGCCUGAUGGCGGGGGAUAACUACUGGAAACGGUAGCUAAUACCGCAUACCAUCAGAUGUACCCAGAGGGGAUUGGCUAGUAGGUGGGGUAACGGCUCACCUAGGCGACGAUCCCUAGCUGGUCUGAGAGGAUGAUCAGACACACUGGAACUGAGACACGGUCGAGACUCAUAAGGGAGUCAGCAGUGGGGAAUAGUGCACAAUGGGCGCAGGCCUGAUGCAGCAAUGCCGCGUGUGUGAAGAAGGCCUUCGGGUUGUAAAGCACUUUCAGCCGGGAGGCGUGACCCGCAGAAGAAGCACCGGCUAACUCCGUGCCAGCCGCCGCGGUAAUUC